RNAcentral lists this ribosomal RNA (422 nucleotides) under uncultured bacterium. RNAcentral describes it as "bacterial SSU rRNA". It matches the Rfam family "Bacterial small subunit ribosomal RNA", at positions 362 to 775 of the family's 1533-position model. The record is from RNAcentral.
UCUUCCGCAAUGGACGAAAGUCUGACGGAGCAACGCCGCGUGAGGGAUUAAGGUUUUCGGAUCGUAAAACUCUGUUGUUAGGGAAGAACAAGUACCGUUCGAAUAGUGCGGUACCUUGACGGUACCUAACCAGAAAGCCACGGCUAACUACGCUCCAGCAGCGGCGGUAAUACGUAGGUGGCAAGCGUUGUCCGGAAUUAUUGGGCGUAAAGCGCGCGCAGGCGGUUUCUUAAGUCUGAUGGGAAAGCCCCCGGCUCAACCGGGGAGGGUCAGUGGAAACUGGGGAACUUGAGUGCAGAAGAGGAGAGUGGAAUUCCACGUGUAGCGGUGAAAUGCGUAGAGAUGUGGAGGAACACCAGUGGCGAAGGCGACUCUCUGGUCUGUAACUGACGCUGAGGCGCGAAAGCGUGGGGAGCGAACAG